AGCGCAAUGGAACCUAUGAUUGAGAUGUCCUUCUUUAUCCAUGAACUUGACAGGUCCUACAGUUGCCUUGCAGGCAGAUGAGCGAUAUAAAAAAAGGGUGACUGUAUGAACAAGGGCCAGCCCUGUUUGAACAGUCCCCUUGAACAGUCAGUGAGAAGAAUGCUGUGGUCAUGUCAAGGAACAUUCACAAUUCCGAUUCCAUCUAUAAACUGAUGUCUACCUAUUUCUUUGCACGCGUUCUGGGAGCCUCACAUCGAUCUCUCAUCCUCUGGGUCUUCCUGACAGCCUUCUUCCUAUGACUGGCUGUAAAAGUGUUGCUGCUGUCACAAAGCCUCUUUGAACUUGAAAGUAAAGCGGGCUAUUAAAUAGCUGGCUCAGACACAGAAGGGAAC
Molecule: non-coding RNA, 392 nt
Organism: Pelobates cultripes (western spadefoot toad)
Lineage: Eukaryota; Metazoa; Chordata; Amphibia; Anura; Pelobatidae
Source: the annotation of a GenBank genome assembly